This 85-nucleotide transfer RNA is filed under the name Clostridiales bacterium. RNAcentral's name for it is "tRNA-Ser". It matches the Rfam family "tRNA". Rfam says of the family: Transfer RNA (tRNA) molecules are approximately 80 nucleotides in length. Their secondary structure includes four short double-helical elements and three loops (D, anti-codon, and T loops). Further hydrogen bonds mediate the characteristic L-shaped molecular structure. tRNAs have two regions of fundamental functional importance: the anti-codon, which is responsible for specific mRNA codon recognition, and the 3' end, to which the tRNAs corresponding amino acid is attached (by aminoacyl-tRNA synthetases). tRNAs cope with the degeneracy of the genetic code in two manners: having more than one tRNA (with a specific anti-codon) for a particular amino acid; and 'wobble' base-pairing, i.e. permitting non-standard base-pairing at the 3rd anti-codon position. The record is from RNAcentral. Lineage: Bacteria; Bacillati; Bacillota; Clostridia; Eubacteriales.
GGAGAGAUGUCCGAGCGGUUUAAGGUGACAGUCUCGAAAACUGUUGUGGCGCAAGCCACCGGGGGUUCGAAUCCCCCUCUCUCCG